RNAcentral lists this ribosomal RNA (164 nucleotides) under Sabal causiarum. RNAcentral describes it as "5.8S ribosomal RNA". It matches the Rfam family "5.8S ribosomal RNA". Rfam says of the family: 5.8S ribosomal RNA (5.8S rRNA) is a component of the large subunit of the eukaryotic ribosome. It is transcribed by RNA polymerase I as part of the 45S precursor that also contains 18S and 28S rRNA. Functionally, it is thought that 5.8S rRNA may be involved in ribosome translocation. Lineage: Eukaryota; Viridiplantae; Streptophyta; Magnoliopsida; Arecales; Arecaceae. The record is from RNAcentral.
GGUAUGACUCUUGAUAAUGGAUAUCUUAGCUCUCACACCAAUGAAGAAUGUAGCAAAAUGCAAUACAUGGUGUGAAUUGCAGAAUCCCACGAACCAUCGAGUCCUUGAAUGCAAGUUGUGCCCGAGGCUGCUAGGCCGAAGGCGCGCCUGCUUGGGCAUCAUGC